AACCUAGCACACCUGCGGUGUGUACCUGCGGAAGGAUCAUUACCGAGUUAGGGUCUCUCCAGGCCCGACCUCCAACCCCUUGUUUACUUAUACCAUGUUGCUUUGGUGGGCCCGCCUUGAUGGCCACCGGGGACUUUUUAUAUCUCUGGUCAGUGUCCGCCAGUAGCCUUCUUAAAAUUCUUUUUUAUAACUAUGUUGUCUGAGUAUAACAAAUAAAUUGUUUAAAACUUUUAACAAUGG
RNAcentral lists this unclassified non-coding RNA (240 nucleotides) under soil metagenome. Its description in RNAcentral is "partial contains 5.8S ribosomal RNA, internal transcribed spacer 2, and large subunit ribosomal RNA". The record is from RNAcentral.